GGAAAGAGUUAAGGAGUUUAUUAGAUUUCUUUCAAAACAGACCUAAAAAUUAUUCAACUCUGUUAUAAAUGAUUUGUUCCUGUGGGGAAGAGAAGGGGCGUGGCAGGUUAGCUCUGCAGUUCAAGCAUUUAGCAAGGACAGUGACAUCAUCAAGUCACUUAGAGCCCAACUUCAAUUUGCCCACAGCAGGGCUGGGAAACACAAGAUCCUGCCCUGGAGCUGAAAUGGGCACCAGGCUCUUCUUCUAUGUGGCCCUUUGUCUGCUGUGGGCAGGACACAGGGAUGCUGAAAUCAUCCAGAGCCCAAGACACAAGAUCACAGAGACAGGAAGGAAGGUGACCUUGACGUGUCACCAGACUUGGAACCACAACAAUAUGUUCUGGUACCGACAAGACCUGGGACACGGGCUGAGACUGAUCCAUUACUCAUAUGGUGUUCCAGACACUAACAAAGGAGAAGUCCCAGAUGGCUACAGUGUCUCUAGAUCAAAUAAAGAGGAUUUCCCCCUCACUCUGGAGUCUGCUGCCUCCUCCCAGACAUCUGUAUAUUUCUGCGCCAGCAGUGAGUCCACAGUGCUGCACAGCUGCCUCCUCUCUGCACAUAAAGGGCAGUUAGAAUGAUUGAGGUUGCCUGUGCUCCCAAGUCCUAGCCUUCAUAGGAGUCAGAGAGCCCUGGCUAGCCUGGGGGCCAUAGAGCAGGGACCAUAUGACCCUUGGUGUUGAGGUCCAUUCCUACCCCAGUCUCAGACCAACUGGAGGUCACCCCAACACCCUUAGCUUCUGCAGUUCCCUGUUUCCUUUUGUAAAAUGGAAAAGGCAUCUUUAGUUGAGAUUCCUAAUUUCCUUGACAAUUUGAAAUCCACCAUAUUCUUCUCUCCCCUAAGGGAUAGGUGACUUGUCCAUCUACCCUUUCCCCUACCCUCUACCACCCUUCAACUCACAAUCAUAAAUCUUUGCCCAUGUGGUCUCUGCUCCUGGGGGGCCUUUCUUCUAAGGGUAAUAGACCCACAAGGUCCUGUAUCAUUAGCCAUUUACCUACCUCUUCGUCGUCAUUUUGCACCAUGUUUUCCCUGGCUGUCUGCUCCAGUCACGCUCCCCUACAUGCAGUUAUUUCUUCACAUGUGUCCGUUGUUUUCCACCCUGGGGAUUGUUUAUACAAAUUCUUUCUUCUGCACUGAGUAUGCAUACCACCCACUUAGUCCUACAUCUCUAUUUCAUUUCUUAAAUUAAAGUGUAUUUCAGGCACACUUGCUCUUAACUGUAAAGAGCAAAAAAGAAAGUUUACUAGAAAAAUAUUUUAUGCAUUCAUUUGGGGGAUGACUUUUUUAGAGGAGACAAAAAAAAAGCCACAAGCCAAAAGAACAAUAUUCAUAAUGCUAAUUGCACUAAAUUGUUCCAAGCCAAAACACACCAUAAAAAUUAAAAAGUUAAGCUACAGCUUGGGAAAGGCAUGAGGAAUGCAUACAAAUGAUGAAAAAUCAGUGUGACAGAGAACAUUCGGUGUGACAGAGAACGUUCAGAACAUCACUGAAUACCCGUAGCCCCUCCAUGGUUUCUGGCCUCCCUUGCAUUUGGAGGGUUGGGAACAUGUCACCAGGUUCUGAAGAGUGGGAUAAAAUGAUGUCACCUCAUUUCAAGCCUAGCCCUUAAAAAUAUUCUGUGGCACUGUGUUGAGAGUCUCUAAAUGUACUCCCGUGUUUAGAGUGUCGGUAUAUGGCAUAGAGUUGUCCUCAUGGCUAACAUUUAUUAAAAUGUCAUAGUAAAUCCUCUGCAACAGAUCAUAUGAAGAAAACACACAGGUGGAAUCUGGAGGAAUUCACAGGCGGGCUUCCUUAUGCUCUCUUCCUCCCAGGAGGGGACACACAGAGCUCUCUCUCCUCCCAGAAGCAAAAAUGCAUGAACACAUGUGCACUGUUUCUGCCAAGGGAGCCCAUUACAGGCUUAGCAUCCAAGAGGGUUUAGUAGAGGCUGUUCACACAGGCACCUACUGUCUAGCAUGAACCAAAAGUCUAGAUCCCAGAAGGAAAUCUGAUGUUCAGCAUAAUUGUUAUUUGCAACACCAGCCUGGGCACAAUGAGCCACCCCUCUCAGUCAGGAGAAACUUUACGUCAGUUCAGGACCCUGUUCACCAGCCAAGUUCCCGGAUUUCAGCCAAAGUCCAAUCUUGCAAGCAGGACUUUCUAAGCACUUCAGUGUCCAGCCUCCUGUCAACUCUUGUGCACGGACACUCUUCAACUCUCUUUUGCCAUGUCUUGAACUUGGGAGCUACAAGGUACAGAUUGGCUGAUGAUAAUAUGGAAGCAGCCUGGCUCACUGGGUCAUAAUUUGGUGGACAAUCACUGAAGAAAGCUGCUCAUGCCACACUGAACUUUGUGGUCACGGGAAGUAAGACUUCACAGAGCUACACCAGUGAGAUUUUAGAUUUGUUUUGUUUGUUUUGUUUUCUGUAG
This is a non-coding RNA of Macaca mulatta (Rhesus monkey), 2449 nucleotides long. The record is from the annotation of a RefSeq genome assembly. Lineage: Eukaryota; Metazoa; Chordata; Mammalia; Primates; Cercopithecidae.